CAAGAGUAAUCAAACCGACUUCAUUAAAAAUCCCAAUUCGCCAUUACAAUAUCGACUUCAACAACGAUUACCUCAGUCUUCCCAAAACCCUAUGAAGAAAAAAAAAAAAUCCAAUUCUCUGUCUUUUCUUCCUCGACCCAAAGCAAGAAGCUCGCUCUCCGAUCCUUCUAAAAACUCUCCAAAAAAAACUUAUUCUCUCCCCUCUCAUUUCUUAACCUUAAUUCUGAAUUUCUUCAAUCUUCCGUCUUGGAUCCGAAAUUGGCUCCCACCGUUAGAGCUUGGAUCCAAAAUUGGCUCUCGCCG
RNAcentral lists this long non-coding RNA (303 nucleotides) under Physcomitrium patens. RNAcentral's name for it is "long non-coding RNA (PPAT_LNC000807)". Lineage: Eukaryota; Viridiplantae; Streptophyta; Bryopsida; Funariales; Funariaceae. The record is from RNAcentral.